RNAcentral lists this long non-coding RNA (274 nucleotides) under Mytilus galloprovincialis (Mediterranean mussel). Lineage: Eukaryota; Metazoa; Mollusca; Bivalvia; Mytilida; Mytilidae. The record is from RNAcentral.
UGCAUGUUAUCAUCUCUAUGUCAAUUCUCUUUAGACAUUAUAUAUUUAGUUAUACAUAUUUUACCUUGUGCUUGUAUGAAACUUUGUUAUUGAAUGUGUCUUUACGUUUGCCGUUAUAUACACUUCUUAUAUCUUAGAACUAUACUAUAAAAUGGCAGACAAUGAAAUCCAGAAAAUAGUGGAACAGUUCAAAAUGGUACAUCAUCCAGAAACUGGUUACUUCAAAGAAGUAUGGAGAGGCGAAAGACAAGUUACGUUUACACAGGAAACAACG